Molecule: transfer RNA, 77 nt
Filed under: Candidatus Uhrbacteria bacterium
Lineage: Bacteria; Candidatus Uhriibacteriota
Description: tRNA-Val
Rfam family: tRNA
About the family: Transfer RNA (tRNA) molecules are approximately 80 nucleotides in length.
Source: RNAcentral
GGACGCUUAGCUCAGCUGGUUAGAGCACCUCGUUUACACCGAGGGGGUCGAGGGUUCGAUUCCUUCAGCGUCCACCA